This is a non-coding RNA of Lonchura striata (white-rumped munia), 207 nucleotides long. The record is from RefSeq and is a predicted model, not a curated record. NCBI's taxonomy places the organism in Eukaryota, Metazoa, Chordata, Aves, Passeriformes, Estrildidae.
GUCUCUGAAUGUCGGCAGGACCCUCCUGUUCCUGCUCCUGCUCCUGGCUGUCAUCGGGGGCUGUCUCUGGUGGCACCGCUGGGCUGCCAGGAAGCUCCAGGACAGCACCCUCGGGGCUCCUUCUUCCCACUCCCAGCGCUGGGGCUGGCACACAACCCUUUUCACUCUCACUGUACCCAAAAUGCAGCUUUUUGAUUAAACUGUGGC